Non-coding RNA from Triticum aestivum (bread wheat), 116 nucleotides. NCBI's taxonomy places the organism in Eukaryota, Viridiplantae, Streptophyta, Magnoliopsida, Poales, Poaceae. The record is from Rfam.
CAAGUACUCCAUACGUCCGAAAUUACUUGUCAUCAAAAUGGAUGUGUCUAGAACUAAAAUACAUCUAGAUACAUCCAUUUCAAUGACAAAGUAUUUUCGGACGGAGGGAGUACAAG